UUACUAUCGAUCCUUCUUGGCUAACGGAGGCUGCACCACAUUUUUACCAGAAGCAGCUGCAUAGUUCUGUUCCUCAAUGAUGCACAAAAUUUUCAAAGAUGCUUCUUGGCAGCCUCAGUUUUGUCUGAAAAUUUUGUUAUGUGUAAACCUUUUUAAAUAAAUUGUAAAUUGGCUAUACUUUCUCUCUAUGGUGGAGCUACGUAGGCUCGAGGGAGGUCAGUUAAACGUCUUUCGCUUGAAAAUUCUACUGUGUAUAUAGGUCGAAUAUUACUUUUCUGUACAUUAUAUUAUAUUGAAUAUUGAACAUUCUUAACGAAAUUGCUCCCUUUGCCAUUGUUUAAAUCUCAUUUAGAUUUAAAAAUAAAAUAAAAAAUUGGGGUAGCGGAAGGGGAAAUGGAGAGGGAAUUACAAUGUGGAGAACCGAACCCUCGCCAACAACGCGGGAGUUCAGGUAGCCAAUCAACUGAGCUGCUAAGAUUCACCAAAUCGCGUUUAGAUGUUAUAAACAAAAUUACAAAAAAAAUUGUUUUCUUGUACUAAGAAGAUGAAAUGUAUUUGUUAAUCAAUUUAACAAAGACACUUUGGAUAUUUCUUUCCCACAACAACACAAUAAUAUUGACAAUGUAGCCAUUAAAUAGUUUUGUUUAGAGGGAAAUUAUUAGCUUUUGUGCUUUUUUUUUAUAUUAGUUUUCUCAUAUGUAGGUCGUUGAUCAAAUCAUAUCAAAAUAUUAUUUUCUUUUAAUAUGUUUUUCUUUAUCGUCUAAUUUAUCAUCAUCAAUGUGUUUGCAAUUACUAGCUUUCCACAUGUCGCAUUGAUUAUUUGGAUCCCAACAAGUUCUUGUUUACUUAUUUGUAUUCCGAAUCCUUCUUGAUUUUGCCACUAUAAUACUAAGCAUGAAAGAAUAAGUCUUGGUAUACAAAUUUAAUCAACAUGAUAAUACUCAACUUAGUACAUAAUUGUAUUUUCUUGAAUUAUAAGUAGAGUACAACACACACUCAUAGAAAUUACUUACUAACGGAUAUAUAAUGUGUACGCAAAUCUUAUCUCUAACUUGGAAGGUAGAGAGACUGUCUUCGAUAAUAAUGUGUACGUAGAUCUUACCUCUAACUCGAAAGGUAGAGAGACCGUCUUCGAUAAGCCUUAACUCAAUCAAAAAUAUAUAUUAAAGCAGUUGGAGAACACACAAUACAAUUAGUACAUACUCUUAACUAAUAAUUAGGAAGUAUAAUAUUUGCAAAUGUCAAGCAACUGAUCACCAAACUCACAACCUCUUUUGUAUACUAAGUUCAUAAUCAGGGGCGGAGCUACCCUUAUGCAAGAGGGUUUAUCCGAACCUUUACAUAUUUAUUUUUGAACUCUCUUAAUGAAAAUCCUGAUUGUCCAAAAUAAUUUUUAUAUAUUUAAUUUAUGUGGUUGUAAAUCAUUUUAUUAAGGAUAAAAAGAAAUUUUUAAAGUUAAAUUGUUUCUAAUUAUAAUAAAGUGACGUAAUUUUCAUCACCAAAGGAUGUGGUGCAGUGGAUGGACUGCUCUUCUCUUAACCAGAGAGGUCUCGGGUUUGAGUCCUGGGUAUGAAAAAAUCUUUGGUAAGGAGCGCUACCCCUCGAAUGGGGCUCUACUCGGCGCGAAUCUAGACUAGUGGGCUCCAAUGUGGAUAUCAGACAUCAGAUGGGAAACGAAAAAAAAAAAAAACCAUAAUUUUCGAUCGAGAUGGACAAAAAAAAGGGAUCGAUGUCAUAUAAAAUGGGACGAAAAGAGUACUAUUACUAUUGUAGAUUCACCCUUGAUUAACAUGUAUUUGAGAUUUUCAAUGUUGCGAUAAUUAAUAUUAUUUAAGAUUUCACAAUUUUAAUAUGGUAUCAGAGCAAACCAACCUUCAUUAGCCGCCUUAGGUAUAACGUUCACAGGGAUUUCUGGAAUUGAAAAUGGAAAUGCAGCAACCUGUAAGGAUAUUAUUAUUGGAAAAAUAGCCAAAGAAAGGCAAACCAACAGAAAUGUCUUGGAACUACAACUCAUUUUUCCUUUUUUUCUUUAAAGAUUAAUUAGUAUUUUAU
RNAcentral lists this long non-coding RNA (2052 nucleotides) under Capsicum annuum. RNAcentral describes it as "long non-coding RNA (CANN_LNC005756)". The record is from RNAcentral. Lineage: Eukaryota; Viridiplantae; Streptophyta; Magnoliopsida; Solanales; Solanaceae.